AUCAUCUGAACCCCUCAUCAAAAAAGACGGGAAAAUAUUACCUCUCUUGCUCAACAACUAGAAAAGUCAGUAUUUUCAAAAGAAGAAAGAUCUUAAAGUUGAGAGACUUGUGGACAACUAGGACUGCACUCCACAGGAAAAAAAAAUGGGAUCUUUGCAGUGCAACAACUCUCGUACACUCUUCUGUCUUGCUAAACGUAAACAGAUGCAUUUAAAAUAAAUGCAGUAUUACUAUUAAAACAUGGGACUGUAACAACUCAUGAAGCCACUGGAAGCAGACUGCUCAUUUUCAGGUGUCAAAGAGUUCUUCCUGCCUACUCUUACCAUCGGAGCUGCUCGUCACUGGCAAUCAUUUUAAACAAAAGCUGAUGGAGGACAUUUGCUGUUCCUAUCUUUUGCAAGCAUUACUUGCUAACAUUUUAGCAUGUUUGGGGUCACAAAAGAAAAACUAUUAGUUAUUGGUUACCUACUUGUAUUAGGGUCCAUGCAUUGUUGAGUAUGAAACUACUUGGAAAAUCACUUCACAGAUGGCAGAGAAAUCUCCCAGACCCUUACCCGUCAGCCCAAGCUGGUGGCUCCUGUGUCUCCUCGGUGUGACAACUGACUCUUCCACAGGUAGAGCUUCAAGUGUUUUCUCCACCUCCUCUUUCACCAGCUGCUUCACCCAAGACCCUUAGGACCCUCUUUAAACAAAAUUCUCCCAGUCUUACCCU
This 713-nucleotide long non-coding RNA is filed under the name Macaca mulatta (Rhesus monkey). Its description in RNAcentral is "lncRNA (ENSMMUG00000050267.1)". Lineage: Eukaryota; Metazoa; Chordata; Mammalia; Primates; Cercopithecidae. The record is from RNAcentral.